This 460-nucleotide ribosomal RNA is filed under the name uncultured bacterium. Its description in RNAcentral is "partial 16S ribosomal RNA". It matches the Rfam family "Bacterial small subunit ribosomal RNA", at positions 338 to 795 of the family's 1533-position model. The record is from RNAcentral.
CCUACGGGAGGCAGCAGUGAGGAAUAUUGGUCAAUGGACGAGAGUCUGAACUAGCCAAGUAGCGUGAAGGAUGACUGCCCUAUGGGUUGUAAACUUCUUUUAUAUGGGAAUAAAAUGUUCCACGUGUGGGAUUUUGUAUGUACCAUAUGAAUAAGGAUCGGCUAACUCCGUGCCAGCAGCCGCGGUAAUACGGAGGAUCCGAGCGUUAUCCGGAUUUAUUGGGUUUAAAGGGAGCGUAGGUGGAUUGUUAAGUCAGUUGUGAAAGUUUGCGGCUCAACCGUAAAAUUGCAGUUGAAACUGGCAGUCUUGAGUACAGUAGAGGUAGGCGGAAUUCGUGGUGUAGCGGUGAAAUGCUUAGAUAUCACGAAGAACUCCGAUUGCGAAGGCAGUUCACUGGACUGAAACUGACACUGAGGCUCGAAAGUGUGGGUAUCAAACAGGAUUAGAUACCCGGGUAGUC